This 457-nucleotide ribosomal RNA is filed under the name uncultured bacterium. RNAcentral's name for it is "bacterial SSU rRNA". It matches the Rfam family "Bacterial small subunit ribosomal RNA", at positions 29 to 507 of the family's 1533-position model. The record is from RNAcentral.
AACUAACGCUGGCGGCAUGCCUUACACAUGCAAGUCGAACGGUAACAGGUCUUCGGAUGCUGACGAGUGGCGAACGGGUAAGUAAUACAUCGGAACGUGCCCGAUCGUGGGGGAUAACGGAGCGAAAGCUUUGCUAAUACCGCAUACGAUCUACGGAUGAAAGCAGGGGACCGCAAGGCCUUGCGCGGACGGAGCGGCCGAUGGCAGAUUAGGUAGUUGGUGGGAUAAAAGCUUACCAAGCCGACGAUCUGUAGCUGGUCUGAGAGGACGACCAGCCACACUGGGACUGAGACACGGCCCAGACUCCUACGGGAGGCAGCAGUGGGGAAUUUUCCACAAUGGGCGCAAGCCUGAUGGAGCAACGCCGCGUGCAGGAUGAAGGCUUUCGGGUCGUAAACUGCUUUUAUUUGUGACGAUUAUGACAGUAGCAAAUGAAUAAGGGUCGGCUAACUACGUG